RNAcentral lists this transfer RNA (73 nucleotides) under Phytophthora infestans T30-4. It matches the Rfam family "tRNA". From Rfam's summary of the family: Transfer RNA (tRNA) molecules are approximately 80 nucleotides in length. Their secondary structure includes four short double-helical elements and three loops (D, anti-codon, and T loops). Further hydrogen bonds mediate the characteristic L-shaped molecular structure. tRNAs have two regions of fundamental functional importance: the anti-codon, which is responsible for specific mRNA codon recognition, and the 3' end, to which the tRNAs corresponding amino acid is attached (by aminoacyl-tRNA synthetases). tRNAs cope with the degeneracy of the genetic code in two manners: having more than one tRNA (with a specific anti-codon) for a particular amino acid; and 'wobble' base-pairing, i.e. permitting non-standard base-pairing at the 3rd anti-codon position. Lineage: Eukaryota; Oomycota; Peronosporomycetes; Peronosporales; Peronosporaceae. The record is from Rfam by way of RNAcentral.
GUCAGUGUCGUCUAGUGGUUAGAACGCGAGCUUCACACGCUCGAGAUCGAGGGUUCGAUUCCCUCCUCUGAUA